GACGAACGCUGGCGGCGUGCCUAACACAUGCAAGUCGAGCGGGGUUGAGGCGAGAGGUAACUCGAGCUUCUACCUAGCGGCGGACGGGUGAGUAACGCGUGGGCAACCUGCCUCAAGGUUUGGGAUAACAGCCCGAAAGGGCUGCUAAUACCGGAUAUGCCUAUGGCCUCGCAUGGGGCUAUGAGCAAAGGGGAAACCCGCCUUGAGAUGGGCCCGCGUCCCAUCAGCUAGUUGGUGAGGUAACAGCUCACCAAGGCGACGACGGGUAGCCGGCCUGAGAGGGUGACCGGCCACACUGGGACUGAGACACGGCCCAGACUCCUACGGGGGCAGCAGUGGGGAUCUUGCACAAUGGGCGAAAGCCUGAUGCAGCGACGCCGCGUGAGCGAAGAAGGCCUUCGGGUUGUAAAGUCUUUUAUAUGUGAGCAGUGCUUCUAUGUGAACGCAUGGGAGAGAGAUAUUAGCAUAUGAAUAAGCAAC
RNAcentral lists this ribosomal RNA (480 nucleotides) under uncultured bacterium. RNAcentral describes it as "bacterial SSU rRNA". It matches the Rfam family "Bacterial small subunit ribosomal RNA", at positions 28 to 494 of the family's 1533-position model. The record is from RNAcentral.